Long non-coding RNA from Hypanus sabinus (Atlantic stingray), 724 nucleotides. RefSeq lists it as uncharacterized. NCBI's taxonomy places the organism in Eukaryota, Metazoa, Chordata, Chondrichthyes, Myliobatiformes, Dasyatidae. The transcript has 3 exons. The record is from RefSeq and is a predicted model, not a curated record.
AGUAAAAACUAUUUGCAAAGUUAACAGAGCCCCUGAGUAUAUAUUAUGAAUAUUUCUGAGUUUUAAUUAAUAAUUAUUUUUGGGAGGUUUUGGAGAGUGUCCAACAUCUUGCUCCUUAUUAACCAUUGAGCACAUCUGAAGGAGCAUUGCCACAAGAACACGGCAUCCGUCAUCAUGGACUCCUACUGUCCAGGGUGAAAUGGCAGCACUGCUUCACUAUGAGAUGAGCUCAACGCCUUCUAUGCCCGCUUUGAAAGGGUGAAGAUCCCUGCUGCACCCGGUGACCCUGUAACCCCUGCCUCAGAGGCUGAUGUUAAGCUGUCUUUAAGGAGGGUGAACCUUCGCAAGGCAGCAGGCCCACAUGGGGUUCCUGGUGGCUGGGAUCCUGUCGAAGUCCGUGAUCGGCAGCUGCACUCAAACUGUGGUUCUUCGCGGCAGUGAGUUCUCGCAGAGCUUGACGAGCAGCCUGGUGUUCUUCAGUAUUUCCAGGUGCCACUGACGGAAGCGCCGCAGGAGUUGGAAACACUGAGUCAGCAGAGCAUGCUCCUGUCAAAAUAAGACAACACUGCAGUUUGUAACGUCGAGGUGGCGAGCUGGUGGUCUCCCUCUAGCUGUGUUUCAGGAGUGAAACAUACCUCGUUAGUGAGAGCAAGCAUCUGUUUGAGAUAUCCAAGUGUUGGAAUAAUGGACUCUAGAUAAUGGACUUGCAAGCUGGCUUGUUGGG